GGGCAUUUGGUCUAGUGGUAUGCUUCUUGCUUAGGGUGCGAGAGUUCCAAAGUUCAAUUCUCGGAAUGCCCC
Capsicum annuum is the source of this 72-nucleotide non-coding RNA. Lineage: Eukaryota; Viridiplantae; Streptophyta; Magnoliopsida; Solanales; Solanaceae. The record is from Rfam.